RNAcentral lists this ribosomal RNA (441 nucleotides) under uncultured bacterium. RNAcentral describes it as "bacterial SSU rRNA". It matches the Rfam family "Bacterial small subunit ribosomal RNA", at positions 355 to 796 of the family's 1533-position model. The record is from RNAcentral.
UGGGGAAUCUUGCGCAAUGGUCGAGAGACUGACGCAGCGACGCCGCGUGUGGGAGGAAGCCCUUCGGGGUGUAAACCACUGUUGCCCGGGACGAACAAGCGAUUUCGAUCGCUCUGACGGUACCGGGUGAGGAAGCACCGGCUAACUCCGUGCCAGCAGCCGCGGUAAUACGGAGGGUGCGAGCGUUGUCCGGAAUCACUGGGCGUAAAGGGCGCGUAGGUGGCGCGGGAAGUCAACGGUGAAAGUUCAGGGCUCAACCCUGAAUCGGCCGUCGAUACUCCCGGGCUUGAGCACUGUAGAGGCAGGUGGAAUUCCGGGUGUAGCGGUGGAAUGCGUAGAGAUCCGGAAGAACACCGGUGGCGAAGGCGGCCUGCUGGGCAGUUGCUGACACUGAUGCGCGACAGCGUGGGGAGCAAACAGGAUUAGAUACCCCUGUAGUCC